AUGGGCUGUAAUGAGAUGGGCCAGGACUGUCGCCCGUUCUCUGUCCUUCUCGUGCUCUGGAGCAGUGGCGAGGAUGAGGACCACACACUCUCAGCUCUAAGCGUGUGCGGUGUGGAGCAUGGAGGCCUCCAAAGGCCAGUCCACCUCCACCCUGGAGAAGAGGACAGCCUGCUCAGAGGUGGGGUCAGGCUGGGGUCAGUAACCCUGGCAAUGGGCGGGGAGGCGGGGAUCCCCCAAGGCCUAGGCCAGUCCGAGGCUCUUCUCUGGCUGCUGCUGCUGAACGUGGCCACCCUGGAGCUGCGAGGGUCCCCAGCCACGGCCGCCCCCGGCCGGACUGCAGGCGAUGGGGGAGCGUUGAGGGGCGGCGCUCCGACUUGGCCAGCACAGCGGUUGGCUCCGGGAGCUACAGGUGGCAGCAGAGUCUCCACAGUGUGCGGGAAGCCCAAGGUGAUGGGGAGGAUCUAUGGUGGCCGGGACGUGGAGGCUGGCCAGUGGCCGUGGCAGGCCAGCCUGCGGUUCCAGGGCUCGCACAUCUGUGGAGCUGUCCUCAUUAACUCCAGCUGGCUUCUUUCCACUGCCCACUGCUUUCUCAAGAAAUCCAAAGCCCCGGAGAAUUACCAGGUUCUGUUAGGAAGCAUCCAGCUGUACCAGCACACCCCUCAGACCCGGGAGGUAUCCGUGAGCCGGAUUAUCACACACCCAGACUUCGAGAAGUUACAUCCCUUUGGGAGUGACAUCGCCAUGUUGCAGCUGCUCUUUCCUGUGAACUUCACCUCCUACAUCAUCCCUGCCUGCCUCCCAGUCCCUGGCAUGAAGCUCCCCAGUAACUCAUCCUGCUGGAUAACUGGCUGGGGGAUGCUCAACGAGGAAACGCCUCUGCUCGAACCCUUCCAUCUCCAGGAGGGUAAGGUGAGCUUCGUUGAGAACAAGUUCUGUAAUAUGUUAUAUGGACUUGCGAAAGGCAAGAACGUCUCUGUGCAGGAGGACAUGCUGUGUGCUGGGGACUUCUCCACAGGAACGUCCAUCUGCCUAGGCGAUUCCGGGGGCCCCCUCGUCUGUGACUUCACCAGUUCCUGGGUUCUGAUGGGGCUGGCCAGCUGGGGUUUUGACUGCCGACACCCCAUCUACCCCAGCAUCUUCACCAACGUCACCUACUUCACCAACUGGAUCGAAGAGAUCCAGAGACUCACACCCAACCCUGAGCCCACGUCUGCUCUUACACCACUCCCUGAGCCCACGUCCACUCCUCCACAGACCCAGUUUCCACACCAGUCUCUGCGGGCUGCCGCCUCGUCCGUGCUGGGCACAGCCUUUGUGCCUCCACAGACCUGGCCCUUGCUGCUGUUCCUGCUUGGUUCCCUGAGGCAAGCCACGUGGUGAUCCGCCAAGCCCCUCAGCUCCUGCUCUGUGCCUCAGGCUCCAGCCUUCUCACUGGAACCUUCCCCCGACCCCACUCCCCCAGCCCCAUCAGCUCUCAGUGGUCCCUUCUUGGCUUUCCUGUCCACCAGCUGAAACCCCCACAAUCCAAGCUUGAAAAACCAAAUAAAAACAAAUGAAAGAC
This 1561-nucleotide unclassified non-coding RNA is filed under the name Bos taurus (domestic cattle). RNAcentral describes it as "hypothetical LOC527795". Lineage: Eukaryota; Metazoa; Chordata; Mammalia; Artiodactyla; Bovidae. The record is from RNAcentral.